CAGCCCCACGGUAAUACGUAGGGUGCAAGCGUUAAUCGGAAUUACUGGGCGUAAAGCGUGCGCAGGCGGUUAUAUAAGACAGAUGUGAAAUCCCCGGGCUCAACCUGGGAACUGCAUUUGUGACUGUAUAGCUAGAGUACGGCAGAGGGGGAUGGAAUUCCGCGUGUAGCAGUGAAAUGCGUAGAUAUGCGGAGGAACACCGAUGGCGAAGGCAAUCCCCUGGGCCUGUACUGACGCUCAUGCACGAAAGCGUGGGGAGCAAACAGGAUUAGAUACCCGCGUAGUCCCUGUCUCUUAUACA
Molecule: ribosomal RNA, 301 nt
Filed under: uncultured bacterium
Lineage: Bacteria
Description: partial 16S ribosomal RNA
Rfam family: Bacterial small subunit ribosomal RNA
Source: RNAcentral